CUGAGUUAUUACAACUCCAACCCAUGUGAACUUACCACUGUUGCCUCGGCGCAGAGGCCUGCUGAGACUCGUUUUCAGUGGGUGGAUGCGCCGGUGGACUACUAAACUCUUGUUAAUUUUGGUAUUCUGAAUCUAAAACUUAAUAAGUUA
This 150-nucleotide unclassified non-coding RNA is filed under the name uncultured Ascomycota. RNAcentral describes it as "sequence contains ITS1". Lineage: Eukaryota; Fungi; Ascomycota. The record is from RNAcentral.